GACGUUUCAUAUUCAAAUUUGUAUCCUUCACUUCAUCAUACAUCGUCCUGGUUUCACAAAUUUAUUGGUUCUUUUGUUUCGUUGACUGAAAUUCCCUUUUCAAGUCUUUUCCUGCGUCCUCCGGUUCUCUAAAUAUUUGUACACUUGGCAAUGCCUCAUUCCAUAUCUGAUCUACCUUUGCCUAUUUAGGAGGUCUCAUUAGCAAAAAGAGUAAAGUUUUGUUAGGUUUAUUGUUUCAGGGUUACAGUGGUCUCUUUGUCUUGAAAAGAAGCAACAAUUUUCUAGGAUCAAAAGAAAAUUGGAGCAUGUCUAGACAGUUGAAAUCCAUUUUAGGUCGACUUGACUGCAUAAAAAAAUUAUCCAAAGAAGGGAAUGCUAACAUGGGUUUCUGUGUGUGCAUGCCAGAUUCGCAUUGUUGCUGCUCAGGCUCUUACAACUAUGGCAGUCAGAUCUGGUGAGCCUUAUAGGCUCCAGAUCUAUGACUUUUUGCAUACUUUGGCUCACGGUGGUGUACAAUCUCAGUUUUCAGACAUGCAUACCAGUACUGGUGAAGAUCAGGGAGCAAGUGGUACUGGCCUUGGAUCUUUAAUAAGUCCAAUGCUUAAAGUCCUUGAUGAAAUGUAUAGUGCACAAGAUGAACUGAUAAAGAGAUGCGCAAUCAUGACAAUGCAAAGAAAGAAUGCUGUAUGAGACUCAUGAGAGGCUGUUAGAUCUCGUCUCGCUUUUUUGCUAUGUUUCAAGAGCAAAAUAUCUCCCUUUAGGCCCAACAAGGUGCUUUGUCCCAUCUGCUUUACCUCUUAGCUGAUGAUAUUGGAUUCUUACGGUCACCUGAUUGAUGAUAUGGAGACUUCAUUUCUGGAAAAAAGAGUUAGUUAUUUCUUACAAAAUUGGCAAGCAGAUCGAUAUCUAUCGCACUCGGCACAAUAUAAGCGCGUCAACGGGCUUCAAUGACCCUGCUGUUGCUACAGGGAUUUCUGAUCAUAUUUAUGAAACAUCCAAGCCAAGGGUUCCUGAUCUUUUUAUGAAACUGUCAAAACGAGGUCAGCGGAGCCAGAUGCACUUGAUGAUGACCUUGUUAAUUUUUGGGCUGCAAAUCUAGCUGAUGAUGGUGCACCUGCUAUGAACAGGGGCGUGAUCGAAGUAUUCGGUGAUCAGUAUCUCCGAAAGCCUACCCCCGAAGAUUGCCG
Molecule: long non-coding RNA, 1187 nt
Organism: Salvia splendens (bonfire salvia)
Lineage: Eukaryota; Viridiplantae; Streptophyta; Magnoliopsida; Lamiales; Lamiaceae
Exons: 4
Source: RefSeq, a predicted model, not a curated record